UACGGAGGGUGCAAACGUUGCUCGGAAUCAUUGGGCGGAAAGCGCACGUAGGCGGCUCGUUAAGUCGGAUGUGAAAGCCCCGGGCUCAACUCGGGAAGUGCAUUCGAAACUGGCGAGCUUGAAUAUGGAAGAGGGUCGCGGAAUUCCCGGUGUAGAGGUGAAAUUCGUAGAUAUCGGGAGGAACACCAGUGGCGAAGGCGGCGACCUGGGCCAAUAUUGACGCUGAGGUGCGAAAGCGUGGGGAGCAAACAGG
Molecule: ribosomal RNA, 253 nt
Filed under: uncultured bacterium
Lineage: Bacteria
Description: partial 16S ribosomal RNA
Rfam family: Bacterial small subunit ribosomal RNA
Source: RNAcentral